Molecule: small RNA, 455 nt
Filed under: fungal sp. KU-2013
Lineage: Eukaryota; Fungi
Description: eukaryotic LSU rRNA
Rfam family: 5.8S ribosomal RNA (bases 165-318)
Source: RNAcentral
CGAGGCAUGUGCACACCCUGCUCAUCCACUCUCAACCUCUGUGCACUUGUUGUAGGUCGGCGGAAAGGCUCAGUGGCAACACAUUGAGUCUGGAAACCUUCCUAUGUUUUAUUACAAACGCUUCAAUUAAAGAAUGUUACUCUGCCUAUAACGCAUCUAUAUACAACUUUCACCAACUGAUCUCUUGGCUCUCGCAUCGAUGAACAAGGCAGCGAAAUGCGAUAAGUAAUGUGAAUUGCAGAAUUCAGUGAAUCAUCUAAUCUUUGAACGCACCUUGCGCUCCCUGGAAUUCCGGGGAGCACCCCCGUUUGACUGACAUGGAAUUCUCAACCUCUAUAACUUUUGUUACUGAGGCUUGAACUUGGAGGUUGUGCUGGCUCUCGUUAGUCGGCUCCUCUUAAAUGCAUUAUCGUGAACGUUACCGAUCGAUAUCAGUGUGAUAAUUAUCUGCGCUG